GACGAAGGAUGCAAGCGUUAUCCGGAUUCAUUGGGUUUAAAGGGAGCGUAGGUGGCCUUAUAAGUCAGUGGUGAAAUCUCUCAGCUUAACUGAGAAAUUGCCAUUGAUACUGUAGGGCUUGAGUACAGAUGCCGUUGGCGGAAUAUGACAUGUAGUGGUGAAAUACAUAGAGAUGUCAUAGAACACCGAUUGCGAAGGCAGCUGACGAAACUGUAACUGACACUGAGGCUCGAAGGCCAGGGGAGCAAACGGG
RNAcentral lists this ribosomal RNA (253 nucleotides) under uncultured bacterium. Its description in RNAcentral is "partial 16S ribosomal RNA". It matches the Rfam family "Bacterial small subunit ribosomal RNA", at positions 524 to 776 of the family's 1533-position model. The record is from RNAcentral.